CUUUCCUGGCUCAGGAUGAACGCUAGCUACAGGCUUAACACAUGCAAGUCGAGGGGCAGCGGGAUUGAAGCUUGCUUCAAUUGCCGGCGACCGGCGCACGGGUGAGUAACGCGUAUCCAACCUUCCGUACACUCAGGGAUAGGCCUUUCGAAAGAAAGAUUAAUACCUGAUGGUAUCUUAAGCACACAUGUAAUUAAGAUUAAAGAUUUAUCGGUGUACGAUGGGGAUGCGUUCCAUUAGGUAGUAGGCGGGGG
RNAcentral lists this ribosomal RNA (254 nucleotides) under uncultured bacterium. RNAcentral describes it as "partial 16S ribosomal RNA". It matches the Rfam family "Bacterial small subunit ribosomal RNA", at positions 14 to 258 of the family's 1533-position model. The record is from RNAcentral.